GAGAGAGAGAGGAAGCAGUUGGAAUGCACACACUCAGAGGUAAAUAAUAGCAAAAAAUGAGUAGUCGCCUUCCGUUCACACCCACUUGACUGGUAUUGAUUCAAGAUUCAGCUGGAUGCUGGGUGGCAGAAGGAAGGGAAGGUAUUAGCUGUUGCCUGAGGACCAAGAGGGACCAUCUAAUGGCUCCAUGUGAAAUGAGAAGGCUUUCAGGUAUAAAGUCACAGAGCAAGAUGCCAAACAUCCCACCAUUUACCUAUCAUUUCAGGACCGUAUGUGCAAAGUUGCAGCAGAAACAAGCCACUAGGUCCAGCCCGAACUCAAAAAAGGGGAGACGUACACAAGGACGUGCCUACCAGGAGGUGGGGAUCAUUUGGGGCUAUCUUGGAAGUCUGCCCACCCACCACCCAGGUGAUUCCAACAUGUACCAGGGUUGAGAACCAUUGCUCUAGAAAAAGGAUG
Molecule: long non-coding RNA, 459 nt
Organism: Physeter macrocephalus (sperm whale)
Lineage: Eukaryota; Metazoa; Chordata; Mammalia; Artiodactyla; Physeteridae
Exons: 3
Source: RefSeq, a predicted model, not a curated record